This 468-nucleotide ribosomal RNA is filed under the name uncultured bacterium. RNAcentral describes it as "partial 16S ribosomal RNA". It matches the Rfam family "Bacterial small subunit ribosomal RNA", at positions 28 to 507 of the family's 1533-position model. The record is from RNAcentral.
GACGAACGCUGGCGGCGUGCUUAACACAUGCCAGUCGAACGGAAAUGCCCUGCUUUUGUGGGGUGCUCGAGUGGCGAACGGGUGAGUAACACGUGAGUAACCUGCCCUUGACUUUGGGAUAACUUCAGGAAACUGGGGCUAAUACCGGAUAGGAGCUCCUGCUGCAUGGUGGGGGUUGGAAAGUUUCGGCGGUUGGGGAUGGACUCGCGGCUUAUCAGCUUGUUGGUGGGGUAGUGGCUUACCAAGGCUUUGACGGGUAGCCGGCCUGAGAGGGUGACCGGCCACAUUGGGACUGAGAUACGGCCCAGACUCCUACGGGAGGCAGCAGUGGGGAAUAUUGCACAAUGGGCGGAAGCCUGAUGCAGCAACGCCGCGUGCGGGAUGACGGACUUCGGGUUGUAAACCGCUUUCGCCUGUGACGAAGCGUGAGUGACGGUAAUGGGUAAAGAAGCACCGGCUAACUACGUG